Molecule: ribosomal RNA, 319 nt
Filed under: uncultured eukaryote
Lineage: Eukaryota
Description: partial 18S ribosomal RNA
Rfam family: Eukaryotic small subunit ribosomal RNA
Source: RNAcentral
CCCUUAGAUUGUCUGGGCGGCACGCGCGCUACAAUGAUGCAUUCAAAAAGUCUUCUGACCUUAGAAGGUUGGGUAUUCUCCAAAGUGCAUCGUGAUGGGAAUAGUUUAUUGCAAUUUUUAAUCUUGAACGAGGAAUUCCUAGUAAGUACAGGUCAUCAACUUGUGUUGAUUACGUCCCUGCCCUUUGUACACACCGCCCGUCGCUCCUACUGAUUGAGUGUCUCGGUGAAUUCGUUGAUCUUCUGUCGAUUCAGUUCACUGAUCCGACGGUGGAAAGUUGAAUGAACUUCGUCACUUAGAGGAAGGAGAAGUCGUAACG